CCUCUCUGGAACUUAAGCGCACUUCUCCUGAGCUUGGUUCUUGGGAAUCCUCUCUAUAAUAACACACAGAACAGAGCACGCUCGGAUAACGUUAGCAGCCUUAAUACAUCCAGCGCUCACUUAAACACAUCCAAGGAACAUUCCGAGGGUCUGUUACUGCCUAGCGGAGUGGCACAGGCAAGAGAACAUGGACAGUGCCAAAAAAAGAACCAUUGGGAAAAAACUACUCUAGGCUGUACUUUGAAAACUAGCCUAACUAACAAACAGCAACACACUAAUUGACUACACUUGGCUACGCGAUUAGGAAAAUACAAGGGGUGGCACCUGCCCUCUAACCCAGGGUGUCUAAACAAUGAUCAAACCUACAUGGUGGAAUGUAGGUGUGCACACAUACUUACCUGUUCUCAAACCACAUGAGCUAGCAUGAUGGGGGCAACUAGCAGACAGGGUGGCAACUAGCAGAUGGGGGGGCAGAGCAAACAAGGAGUGAGGAAAAAUAGAAACCAGCCAAUCAGUUUUCAAGUCAUCUUCAGGAAUCUUCUGUCCUGGAUGAUGUCAAACUGGAAGAAUGUACAGUAUCUCCAGCUGUAUCCAUCUCUAUGUCUGUAUAUGCAAUGAUUUUGCUUUUGUUAUUCUCUAUUAAAAU
This is a long non-coding RNA of Silurus meridionalis, 646 nucleotides long. RefSeq lists it as uncharacterized. NCBI's taxonomy places the organism in Eukaryota, Metazoa, Chordata, Actinopteri, Siluriformes, Siluridae. The record is from RefSeq and is a predicted model, not a curated record. The transcript has 4 exons.